This 584-nucleotide long non-coding RNA is filed under the name Corvus moneduloides (New Caledonian crow). Its description in RNAcentral is "lncRNA (ENSCMUG00000018830.1)". Lineage: Eukaryota; Metazoa; Chordata; Aves; Passeriformes; Corvidae. The record is from RNAcentral.
UAGCAUUUCCUCGCUUGAGCAUCGCAGUAAUUUUUGUACCCUUUGGUCUCCCACAGCUGGUAUACCAAAAGAAAACGCCAGCACAAAACCCAGCCAAGCUCCUUGGAAAUGUAAAUAGACCGGAACCACUGGUGUCCUCUUAACACAGCAUCAAUCACUGCUGGGUGCUGGAAGUGGCAGCACAUUCGUUGCAGUCCAGGCAGCCAUUGCGGGCAGCAGAUGGAGAGGGUUUAAGACCUUGUAGCACUGUUUUGAAGCUUCUCUGCAGAAGAUGGAGCACAGAUGGAGUGUGCUUUGACCUGCUCACUCAGUUUACAGUAGGUUCAGUGUCUCGGUGUUCAGAGUGCCAUGGGGAGUAAAUAUGCUGAGUGGGAUGCAGUCCCUGCCCAAAGAUUGAGCCAGAGAAGAGACUGCAAGAAGAGACCAAGACUACCAAGUGUCUCCCACCUGGCAAGCAAGUAAAGAGGGACGUAAGAAGAUCAGAGGCACCACAAAAUGCCAUCAGGUAUUUUCAACCAUUCUGUUCAGCUGCUGUCUAAACAUAAAAGACAUAAAGGAAAGACAUAAACUGGGCAAGGGGUCGG